AUGACCCAUUGGCCUCGAAUUUUUGGGUUGGAACACACUCCACGAGAUGCCGACCUCAUCAGCGCCCUCCCCGACGACAUCCUCCUCCUGGUGCUGGUGCGCCUACGCUGCGUCCUCGCCGCCGCGCGCACCAGCCUCCUCGCGCGCCGGUGGCGCGGCCUCUGGACCCGCCUCCCGGAUCUCGCCUUCCACCGCGUCGCGCCCGCCACGGUCGAGUCGGCGCUCGCCCGCUUCGCUGCUCCCCCCGCGGUGUCCCUCAUCGCCAUCCGUCUCCGGUUUGGACACACCGCCGCCCAAGCCAACUCGUUGCUGCGCGCCGCCGCUGCAGUCUCGCCGGCGGAGCUAGUCUACAACUACCCGGGGUCUCGCCAGGACCGUUACAGCCACAUUGAGCUGCCUUGCUUCCACCGCACCACCUUGAUCGAGCUGGAGACCUUGAUCGGCGUCAAGCCGCCGACGGCCGGCGAGUUCGCCGUGCUCGAGAGGCUGUCCCUCAACGCCAACAUCGUCGACCUUGGCGCCUUGCUCAAUCGCUGCCCGCGCCUGCGCGUGCUUAGCGCAACCUUCUGGACCACUGAGCUCCUCACGCUGCAGUCGGUCCGCGAGCUCCCCGCCCUCGAGAGGCUGACCCUUAACGGCAACAUUGCCGACCUUGGCACCUUCCUCAACCGCUGCCCGCGACUGCGCUUGAUCAGCAUCACACUCCGCAGCGUCACCCCUGACUCGCUCGAAGCGGCGCUAGCCACAAUCGCCACGGUGGCGGCGCACGACAGUGCGGUGUCCCUCCUCGGCAUCAGCAUCCCCAGUGCAUACAGCGAUGACACCGUCCUUCUCCGUGCCGCGGCGAGGCUGUCACCGCAAGAGUUCGCCUUCAUGCGCCUGCUUGAUGCACAAGGCACGCAAUACACCAGUGCCGACCUGCCGUGCUUCCCCCGCACCACCUCCAUCAAGAUUGCCGUGCAUAACAUCUGCUUCACACGGCUGCUGGACGGCGAGUCUCCGAGCUCGAGAGGCUGUCCCUCAAAGGAUGCAUCAUCAACGACCUAG
RNAcentral lists this ribosomal RNA (1047 nucleotides) under Triticum aestivum (bread wheat). RNAcentral's name for it is "partial small subunit ribosomal RNA". The record is from RNAcentral. Lineage: Eukaryota; Viridiplantae; Streptophyta; Magnoliopsida; Poales; Poaceae.